UUAAUUUUCAGUACAUUAAACAUAUUACAUUAAGCUUAUAGCUUAUAUCAGCUUCACGUACCCAGAGGAAGUCGGCGGCGGUUUCCUUUACCGACUCCGGCGACGGCGGAAAACCAUCUCCGACGGCAAUUAUGGGUAAGAAAUCAUCGAGGAAGAAUGGAGUUGGUAAAGCACCUGGUUCAAUUACAUUAAGAGAAGAAUCAGGUGUGAAGAAGAAACAAACUCAUGUUAAUGCGAAAUCGAUGCUGAAAUUGGAGCAUAUAAAGGAUAUUGCUACCUGGGCUAGUGGCGAAGGUUCCAUACCUUCACUUGGUGCGUUUUUUGGGCAGAGAUUAGCUGUAUCAGCUGAGUCUUUGGGUGUUCCACCUGACCCUUCAUUAUUUACUUGUCAAAGGUGUGAAUCUAUCCUUCAGGCUGGCUACAAUUGUACAGCACAGAUUGAGAAGAACAAAAGAAAGGCACGAAAGAAAUGCAAGACAUCCGGUAUUCCCCCGAAGAAUUCAGUUGUAUAUGAGUGUCAUUUCUGCUCACAUCGGAAUCUAAAGAGAGGAACCCCAAGAGGCUAUAUGAAAAGCCUAUAUCCUGCUAAACCAAAAACUUUAACAGUUGAUCCUGCUAAAUCAGCAACCCCAAAGGCAAAAGUUGAUCCUACUGAAUCAGCAAUGCAAAGAUCUGAACAUUUGGGCACUUUAGUGGCUAGUAUCGAUAAGGCAAAAGUUGAUCCUACUGAAUCAGCAAUGCAUAAGUCUGAACAUUUGGAUUUGUCAGUGGCUAGUACUGAUAAGGCAAGAGUUGAUCCUACUGAAUCAGCAAUGCAAAAGUCUGAUCAUUUGGAUACGUCAGUGGCUAGUAUUGAUAAGACAAGAAUUGACGCUACUGUAUCAGCAACCCAAAAGUCUGAACAGUUCGACACUUUAGGGGGCAGUACCACAGAUGUAAUAGUUUCAUCUGAACUAGUUGGAGAUGAUCCUAUGGCUGGUCCGGCAACUCCAUUGUCAACAGGUACGGUUACUUCUCUGUUGGAUUCAAAGAAAAGGAAAAGAAAUAGAACAGGGUCCAAGAAGAAAGCUGAACCUCAGGAUGGUUCAUCCAUGACAGAUGCUGAGAAGACUGUCUCAACAUCCAGUAAGAGAAAGAAGAAGUCUUGGACUAGUUUGAAGGAAAUUGCUGAAAGUCAGAGUAGCAAUAGUAGGAAGUUCACCAAUAUAUCUGUUCCAUUUAUUCUUAGAUUGUGAGAAUUGUAUUUUGCCCGUAGAGCACCCCCUUUUUGGGGGUUUUCAAGCCCGGUGUCCGGAGCUCAUAUUGGCGCGCUUUGUUCUCUCGAAUCUCCUCUUCGUCGUCAUGUCUGCUUCCGCAGAGGGGUAAGUUUGUCUUUUCAUGUGCUGCUUUUGUGUGUCUUCUCCAACACUCCGCAGCUGGCCUAACUAUACAGGAAUACGUCCUAACUACUACACCGCCACACAAUAACUACAAGUAGAUCAGUAUACACAAAGCUUAUCAGAUUUUCUGGGUGGUGCUCCUUUUUGCUUCGCUCAAUUCGACAAAUUUUUCAGCCACUCGGUGCUCUGAGAAGCUGUAUAACUAUUAUACCAUUGAAAAGAAGGGAAAUCCAUUGCUAAAGCAUGCCAGGAAUGUGAAACGAACUUCUUCUGCUCUUUAUUUGAGGUUUGAAGGGAUACUGAUUUCAAUUAAUUUGCAUAGCCUCCGGCAUCAUCCACUUCAUCCAGACUCCCUGCUCUAAUGCCUCCCCGCCACUCCAACUCGCAAAAACAGAGGUCUUCUAAAGGGAUGGUACGUAAUCUUUCGUUACUGAAUUUCUCUCCUGCUCUCUUAACUUUAAUUUAUUGCUCAAUCCUCCCUAUUUCAUAUGCAUAUAUUUAUCAGAAAAUGGUCAAAAAGACCUUCAAACUAUUCAAUAUAGCUCAUACUUAUCCCUCUUAGUUUACGAAUGAGAGAAAUUAUAUAGUAUUCAAAUCAAAUUAAAAGACUAUGCCUCUUAAGUUUGGGGUCCUUCCUCUUAGGCUCUUACAUAUACAAUAUAGGUGCUUUCAUGCUGCCUUAAUCAGACAACUGAGCUCAAUACCCCAGGAGUCCUAUGCUUGUACAUCUAAAAUAUCACAUUACCCACUCUUAGUUUUGUAGAGUCAAAAAUUACCGGCAAGUAGACGAAGCGCAGGGAAGUGAAACCCAUGAAAACUAUGAAAAUUGUUCACGACUCCUUAUCUGAAAGCAGAAACCAGAGCACGGGAACCAAUGGAAAGCAAGAAUGACCAAAUUGUCAUGUGAUGUAUCAGCCAUGUCAACCAUGAGACCUACAGAAAACACCCAAAUUCAGUUAAAAAACGCCAAAUAUCAUGCAUGAGAAAACAAAGCUAAACAUUAUGCUAUAGGAAGGCUUAUUCUUGUAGAUUAGUUUACUCAACACUGUGAAGUGGUUUAAAAUGUUACUUAUACUUUUCAAAGUUGUUUAACUUCAAAGUUGUGUAUCUAAAUUGAAUGGUCAGUUUUUUUGAGACAUCCAUCAUACAAAUUGUGAUGGUAGGAGUAGUAAUUUGUACUUUCACUGGUUGUGAUCAAUACUAAACCUUAUCAUGCGAAAA
RNA transcript from Solanum lycopersicum (tomato), 2600 nucleotides. RefSeq lists it as uncharacterized. The record is from RefSeq and is a predicted model, not a curated record. Lineage: Eukaryota; Viridiplantae; Streptophyta; Magnoliopsida; Solanales; Solanaceae.